RNAcentral lists this ribosomal RNA (947 nucleotides) under Bacillus cereus. RNAcentral's name for it is "bacterial SSU rRNA". It matches the Rfam family "Bacterial small subunit ribosomal RNA", at positions 69 to 984 of the family's 1533-position model. The record is from RNAcentral. Lineage: Bacteria; Bacillati; Bacillota; Bacilli; Caryophanales; Bacillaceae.
AUUCANUGGUGGCUCAGGAAAGGACUCAAAACGGUGUCCCUAUAAAUUAGCGGCGGACNACCUGAUUAACACAUGUAACCUGCCCAUAAGACUGGGAUAACUCCCGGAAACCGGGGCUAAUACCGGAUAACAUUUUGAACCGCGGGUUCGAAAUUGAAAGGCGGCUUCGGCUGUCACUUAUGGAUGGACCCGCGUCGCAUUANCUAUUUGGNGAGGUAACGCCUCACCAAGGCAACGAUGCGUACCCCACCUGAGAGGGGGAUCGGCCACACUGGGACUGAGACACGGCCCAAACUCCUACGGGAGGCAGCAGUAGGGAAUCUUCCCCAAUGGACGAAAGUCUGACGGANCACCGCCGCGCGAGUGAUGAAGGCUUUCGGGUCGUAAAACUCUGUUGUUAGGGAAAAACAAGUGCUAGUUGAAUAAGCUGGCACCUUGACGGUACCUAACCAAAAAGCCACGGCUAACUACUUGCCAGCAGCCGCGGUAAUACUUAGGUGGCAAGCGUUUUCCGGAAUUAUUGGGCGUAAAGCGCGCGCAGGUGGUUUCUUAANUCUGAUGUGAAAGCCCACGGCUCACCCGUGGAGGGUCAUUGGAAACUGGGACACUUGAGUGCAAANAGGAAAGUGGAAUUCCAUGUGUAGCGGUGAAAUGCGUAGAGAUUGGAGGAACACCAGUGGCGAAGGCGACUUUCUGGUCUGUAACUGACACUGAGGCGCGAAAGCGUGGGGACAAACAGGAUUAGAUACCCCGGUAGUCCACGCCGUAACGAUGAGUGCUAAGUGUGAGAGGGUUUCCGCCCUUUAGUGCUGAAGUUAACGCAUUAAGCACUCCGCCUGGGGAGUACGGCCGCAAGGCUGAAACUCAAAGAUUUGACGGGGGCCCGCACAAGCGGUGGAGCAUGUGGUUUUAAUUCAAGCAACGCAAAGAACCUUACCAGGUCUUUG